This 667-nucleotide ribosomal RNA is filed under the name Escherichia coli. RNAcentral's name for it is "partial 23S ribosomal RNA". It matches the Rfam family "Bacterial large subunit ribosomal RNA", at positions 227 to 934 of the family's 2925-position model. Lineage: Bacteria; Pseudomonadati; Pseudomonadota; Gammaproteobacteria; Enterobacterales; Enterobacteriaceae. The record is from RNAcentral.
AACCGAGAUUCCCCCAGUAGCGGCGAGCGAACGGGGAGCAGCCCAGAGCCUGAAUCAGUGUGUGUGUUAGUGGAAGCGUCUGGAAAGGCGCGCGAUACAGGGUGACAGCCCCGUACACAAAAAUGCACAUGCUGUGAGCUCGAUGAGUAGGGCGGGACACGUGGUAUCCUGUCUGAAUAUGGGGGGACCAUCCUCCAAGGCUAAAUACUCCUGACUGACCGAUAGUGAACCAGUACCGUGAGGGAAAGGCGAAAAGAACCCCGGCGAGGGGAGUGAAAAAGAACCUGAAACCGUGUACGUACAAGCAGUGGGAGCACGCUUAGGCGUGUGACUGCGUACCUUUUGUAUAAUGGGUCAGCGACUUAUAUUCUGUAGCAAGGUUAACCGAAUAGGGGAGCCGAAGGGAAACCGAGUCUUAACUGGGCGUUAAGUUGCAGGGUAUAGACCCGAAACCCGGUGAUCUAGCCAUGGGCAGGUUGAAGGUUGGGUAACACUAACUGGAGGACCGAACCGACUAAUGUUGAAAAAUUAGCGGAUGACUUGUGGCUGGGGGUGAAAGGCCAAUCAAACCGGGAGAUAGCUGGUUCUCCCCGAAAGCUAUUUAGGUAGCGCCUCGUGAAUUCAUCUCCGGGGGUAGAGCACUGUUUCGGCAAGGGGGUCAUCCCGA